CUCUUAAAAGGAGUAACCCCAGAGUGCAGUCUGGACGAUGGGGCGGGGCGACACUUCGAGGCGGAGCGACACGUGUCGCCCCGCCCAUAUUUGUUUUCCCCGCCUUUGACAUUUUCCUCCGAGCCAGCAGGGGGCAGUUUGCGUUGAAACAAACAGAACGGUGGCAACUACAGCAGCAGAGUAAUAACGCUAUUCCGUUGAUUGCUUGAGGAUGACAUGAUCAGGAGGUGGUGGUGUUCUGUUCUCCUGGACAGCUUUACUCCGCAAAUAGCUCAACCACUGAGAGGAGGAACUUCACCAUUCACCAUGUCUUCAGGCAGAGUCCAGCAAAGCAGCUUCCACUGGAAAUCCUCAGGGAAGUUAUUUUGUCGGCGGGUGACUCUGCAUAUUUGACACUUUCUCUGGUUUGCAGAUGGUUUAGGGUUGUGCUCCGAAGUUUUUCGGAAAGCGGCACAGUUUGCCUGGCUAGAGAUUGUGGCCAACUGGAAGAAUUGUCCUCCUGUCUCCUGACCGGAACGAGUUCAGACGGAUGUACAGCAUCAGGGAAUGCUUGCAGUGCAGAGCCCUUUUCAAGUUUAACCCACCACCCUGGGUGGGAAGAGGGAAGAGACCGGCGUGGUGAUCUUCUGGGCUUUUGUUUACACAGGAUUUUGUUCCAAGGACUGUUUUUUUUUUUUUGCGGCAUGAAACACAUUUGUGUGUUAAGUUCAUUGAAGGGAAAUAGAGAAUGGGCUGAGAUCAACUGGUUUUGAUUAUUAAUUGAUGUAAUUUAAAGUUAAACUUUGCACUGUAUAAUGUUUUAAUAAAAAAGCUAUGGAAAACA
Molecule: long non-coding RNA, 823 nt
Organism: Carassius gibelio (silver crucian carp)
Lineage: Eukaryota; Metazoa; Chordata; Actinopteri; Cypriniformes; Cyprinidae
Exons: 5
Source: RefSeq, a predicted model, not a curated record